GCCUCGAUAGUCGAAAGGAUAAAAUACCUGCCUAGUAAGCAGGAGAUUCAGGUUCGAUUCCUGAUUGAGGUG
This is a non-coding RNA of Pogonomyrmex barbatus (red harvester ant), 72 nucleotides long. The record is from the annotation of a RefSeq genome assembly. Lineage: Eukaryota; Metazoa; Arthropoda; Insecta; Hymenoptera; Formicidae.